AUUAUACACCUGACUCCCAAACAUCUACUGCCAUUGUAAUACACUGCCUCCUGCAAGGCUAAAGUAGCCAGCCCAGCUAACCAUCAGGAGCCUAUUUGCUCUAACUCACAUUUACAGAAUGCACUUGGUAAAUAGGAGUUCAAUAACUGUUUGUUGAAGAAAGAAAAGAACUAUGGUGGGUCAGAUGAGAGACAAAAAUCACUCUGCAGAGAUACGGCAUGCAGGAGACCACCUCUGAGACUGAGGCAAGAGUGUGCCUGAAAUGCCAGGGGUUCGAUCUAGGUCCUGCUGUUCCCUGACACAGAAAGCCAAUGACUGACACAAUGAGUAUUGCCAAAGAAGAAGGCUUUCAUCGAGUGCUGCAGCCAAGGAAAUGGAAGAUCAGUUUCAAAUCCAUCUCCCUGAACAACUAAAAAUAGAGGUUUCUACAGCAGGGAAGAAAUGUGACUAUGCAUGGGAAAACAGGAAUUAGGGAGGGGUCAUGAGGCAAUCAUGAUGAAUGAGGGGCCUGACAUCCC
RNAcentral lists this long non-coding RNA (518 nucleotides) under Pan troglodytes (chimpanzee). RNAcentral describes it as "long non-coding RNA NONPTRT007785". Lineage: Eukaryota; Metazoa; Chordata; Mammalia; Primates; Hominidae. The record is from RNAcentral.